GGAGAGAGGGAGGGGGAGAGAGAGGCAGACACCCCAUUCAUCACCUAGCCAGACGCCAUUCCCAGAAGCACUAGGAGAAGUACCACAUAUCCACACCGCGAUUUUCCUCACUCCUCGCUGCCCGGGUGACCGGGGACGCUGUGGGAAGGCAGGUACGGGAAACGUGCCCUGCCAGAGGAGUUACAGACCGUUAGUGCUCUUCCCUACCACGCGGGGCUCUCCGGAAUGAAGCAACCGGUUGAAGACGAAGUUGGAGCAGCCAUGGAUCGAUCAACAGUGGCAAGAGGAAGGAGAGAGAGCGAGGGAGGGGCGGUAGUGUACGGCUGACAGGCGGCUCGCGUUCAGCGCCGUGUCUCAAGAUUGUGUUCUUAAUUGAGGACAUUUCCAUUUCCGUGCAAGUGUUGCUCUGGCUGGAGUGACCUCGUUAUGCAGGAGAGAUGUUUCCUUAGUUUUUAUCUCAGAUAAAAACAAUGAAACACUGUGGUGCUCUGCCUCACGGCUCUUGAAGUGGAGCAAAGGAGAGGAUAUUGCCUUCCCCACCCUCCGGCCAGGGCAGGGCACACACGUGCCGCUCACCACUUGCACGGAGCUGGAAGUGUCUCCAAUUGAUGACGCGUCUUAAGACAUUCUUGCUGGUAAUAUGCUGACUGUGCACUAGCGACUCCCUCACCCCCAUCUUCGUAGAAUGAAGGUCAUCCAACAGCUGGAAGGUUCGCCUGGUGGCUGAGCGUGUACCCUGCAUCCUCACUCACGUCUCUCCGAUCCAUCCUCACUCAUGUCUCUUUGAUCCACACGGUCUGUAAAGGAGAAUCGAAUAAACAGCGGAUAUCCUA
Long non-coding RNA from Eriocheir sinensis (Chinese mitten crab), 833 nucleotides. RefSeq lists it as uncharacterized. The record is from RefSeq and is a predicted model, not a curated record. NCBI's taxonomy places the organism in Eukaryota, Metazoa, Arthropoda, Malacostraca, Decapoda, Varunidae. The transcript is spliced from 5 exons.